Molecule: long non-coding RNA, 1235 nt
Organism: Homo sapiens (human)
Lineage: Eukaryota; Metazoa; Chordata; Mammalia; Primates; Hominidae
Product: long intergenic non-protein coding RNA 1366
Source: Ensembl
GAGUCACAGGCAAUUCCGUUUUGUUUGGGACCAUGAGACCUCCCACUCCUGGGGCCAGAAGGAGUUGCUGAGAAGGAGCUGUGGUUCUGACCUUCAGGGGAAUUCCCACGUCUGUAUGGUGGCUCGUGAAGAGCAUGGUUCCUUUUCUCAGCCCUCUUGAGGGGCGAGGAUGCUGAGGACUGAAGUCGGGCCUGCUCUCUGUCAUGUGAUGCUAUACUACAGCCAGGCUGGAAUUUGGUGUCUUAUUGCUACAAAGAAUCAGCUUUGUCAAUCCUAAGGUCACUGAGAGGCUGCCAGAGGGCCAUUUUCAUGACCAGAGGGAUCUGUUCAACACCCUGUGGGUCCCAGCACCUAUCUCAGGAAGCAGGGUGCAUCUGUCCACCACCAAGUCUCAGGGUGGCUGGGUGAGCGCUCAUCAGUCCCAGACAGCAGGUUGGCACAAAACGACACUGCCCACAAAACCACAGGAAGAAGAGAAACUCCGACUGUCUUUCAGCACACAGAAGACACUGUACUGGACCCGGACAUUAGGCAGACACCCACGCCUGACUUUCAGGAGAAAAGAGAACAUGACUAACGGAUAUUCUUAGUAGAUGGUUUAUUAGAAAAGAGAACAUCUUCCAGCAUGUGUCCUGGGGUGAUGGGUGUGGGAAGCACUCAGUCCAUAGUCCUGGUCCCUGGCUUCCCCAAGCCCAGCACCAUGAAUGUACAGUGGAAAGCAGAGGGUGCAGCGUCUCAGAAAGAUGCUUCCACUCACAAGGAUUGGAGCUCACAAGUGAGCUCCAUAACCUGCAAACCAGAGAAACCUGAGACACUGCCCCUUGGCCAUUUUAUCAACGGAGACUUUAUUGUGAUUAUCCCGGCAGGGGGCCGAGCUCUCCUCUCUGCAACAGGAAAUGCUCUUUAGUGAAAAUGCAGCAUUUCUCCAAGGGUAACAAAGCUGAACGCCUGCUUAGCUUAUGAACCCUCAGUUGGCCUAGGUGGUGCAAAGACCCUGCUGUUACUGCUUUGAUCAUCAGUACUGUGGACUGUACCAGGAGAUCCCUGGGAAUGUGCUCUGGGCGGAAGCAGCUUUUAUCUUUGGCCCUCACCCAUGCUUUAUAUGGUGAGGUUGGGAAAAUGGCACAAGGCUUCUCCUGAACCUCAAAUCAACACCCUUGCCCCAUUUAGAUCCUAUCUGGCUGUUUCUUGCUAAUAUUACUGCAUCACUGCACCAUCUUUCCUAUUUCAGCAAA